AGAGUUGAUCCUGGCUCAGAACGAACGCUGGCGGCGUGCCUAACACAUGCAAGUCGUACGAGAAAAUCCGCUUCGGCGGGUGAGUAGAAUGGCGCACGGGUGAGUAACGCGUGGAUAAUCUGCCUUUAAGCUGGGAAUAACUCACCGAAAGGUGGGCUAAUACCCGAUAAUGCUAUGGGACUUCGGUUUUAUAGCCAAAGAGAGCCUCUACAUGUAAGCCUUCACUUAAAGAUGAGUCCGCGUACCAUUAGCUAGUUGGUAGGGUAAUGGCCUACCAAGGCGACGAUGGUUAGCUGGUCUGAGAGGAUGAUCAGCCACACUGGAACUGAGACACGGUCCAGACUCCUACGGGAGGCAGCAGUGAGGAAUAUUGCGCAAUGGGGGCAACCCUGACGCAGCAACGCCGCGUGAGUGAGGAAGGUCUUCGGAUCGUAAAGCUCUGUCGGGUGGGAAGAAGUGUGCAUAGGUUAAUAGCUUGUGCACUUGACGGUACCGCCAAAGGAAGCACCGGCUAACUCCGUGCCAGCAGCCGCGGUAAUACGGGGGGUGCGAGCGUUGUUCGGAAUCAUUGGGCGUAAAGAGCGUGUAGGCGGCUAGGCAAGUCAGAUGUGAAAGCCCUGGGCUCAACCCAGGAAGUGCAUUUGAUACUGCCUCGCUAGAGUACGGGAGAGGAAAGUGGAAUUCCUGGUGUAGAGGUGAAAUUCGUAGAUAUCAGGAGGAACACCGGUGGCGAAGGCGACUUUCUGGCCCGAUACUGACGCUCAGGCGCGAAAGCGUGGGGAGCAAACAGGAUUAGAUACCCUGGUAGUCCACGCCCUAAACGAUG
RNAcentral lists this ribosomal RNA (826 nucleotides) under uncultured bacterium. RNAcentral's name for it is "bacterial SSU rRNA". It matches the Rfam family "Bacterial small subunit ribosomal RNA", at positions 8 to 811 of the family's 1533-position model. The record is from RNAcentral.